UCUCUCUCUCUCUCUCUCUCUCUCUCUCUCUCUCUCUCUCUCUCUCUCUCUCUCUCUCUCUCUCUCUCUCUCUCUCUCUCUCUCUCUCUCUCGGCGCAUUCAAGUGUGCCUCGUAAACUUCAGCUUCGCUCGCUGACUUUUGACGCAAUGAGCGCAGCGUGACGCUGUCUGUCGCGUUACCACAAGCAGAUGGUGGAGGCGCAAAUACUGUUUUAAAGGGCUGGAAAUCCAAUUUCUCUUAAUAUUGAUCUGUAUUAUAAUGGAAUUAUUCUUUAUUAAAGGAGAGUUUUUAACUAUUUUAAUGUCAGAAACAUUAAAAAAUAUUCAAAUCUCAGGAAGGCAUUCAUCUUACAGUGAUGUACAAAAUAAAUGCUAAAAUGCAGUCAAAUUUAGAGAUUUCGACUGUAAACGGUUACUUUACCAUUCAUAAAUAAACUUCAAUUUAAUGACAAUGAUAAUAAACAAAUUCCAGAAUUAAAGCUUCUUAACGCUUCAUUUGUUUGCUCGAAUAAGCAGAAAGUGCAACUGAAACUGAUUAAAAACAAAGCAGGCACGUGCAGGGGGGGGGGGGGCGGAGGGUGCUUGUUGAGCACCUGCCCCUUACGUCCAAAGAGCCCAAAGUGCCCUUUUUCCAGUCGUUCGUCAGAUUUUGCCGCAAGGACCAUGCGGAGGCAGCCGCCUCAAGCUGAAGCCUAUUUUCCCUUAAACCCGCCUACAAGGUCACUGAUUGGCUCUUCCACAUCAUACUAACAUGUGAUUGGUUGUCCCUGCUGUCGCUCUACCUUGCAGCCAUGGAGUCGACUGGUGUUUUGCCUGUGGGCAGGAGUCUGCGUUCAUCUACCUGUGGGCGUGUCUGAGAGCUCCCAGCUGCAAGGCCCAGGGGAUUUAAGGAGCAGUGUGACACUUCACCACGCCGGAUGAUUACUCUUUUGGGUUCCUCGCAAUCUCUCACCAGCUCCAGAACAAGAUCCGAAUCUCAGCCUACCUGACACACUGCUUCAUCCCCUGGCCGCCCGCUCUCAGCCGCUCACCUACCAACAUCCAUUCCUGCUCCUACACCUCUGGACAAACCAAUCCCUUUACCUUUGGAUCUCCUCAGCUCACCCGGACCUAACAACCUUCCUGUUCAGUUACCACUACCAAGAAACCAAUCUCCCCCUGGAUUCCUGCUGCCAGUCCUGCGUCUCGUCUGUUCCCGUCUCUCACAUUGCUCUUUAUUUAGUAAUAAAAACCUUUUUACUUACCUUCUUGCUCUCCGUAUGGUGAUUCUGCAUGUCGUGGGUCAAGAAACUGCCACCCGCCAUGACAGAGGCACAAUAUACACAACUAGAAAAUUCUGAAUAUGAAGGGAGGAGGUUAGCAUAAUGGACUUUUUUUCUU
This is a non-coding RNA of Nothobranchius furzeri (turquoise killifish), 1380 nucleotides long. The record is from RefSeq and is a predicted model, not a curated record. Lineage: Eukaryota; Metazoa; Chordata; Actinopteri; Cyprinodontiformes; Nothobranchiidae.